GUGGGGAAUAUUGGACAAUGGGCGCAAGCCUGAUCCAGCCAUGCCGCGUGAGUGAUGAAGGCCUUAGGGUUGUAAAGCUCUUUCACCGAUGAAGAUAAUGACGGUAGUCGGAGAAGAAGCCCCGGCUAACUUCGUGCUAGCAGCCGCGGUAAUACGAAGGGGGCUAGCGUUGUUCGGAUUUACUGGGCGUAAAGCGCACGUAGGCGGUUUGUUAAGUCAGGGGUGAAAUCCCGGAGCUCAACUCCGGAACUGCCUUUGAUACUGGCAAGCUAGAGUCCGGAAGAGGUAAGUGGAACUCCUAGUGUAGAGGUGGAAUUCGUAGAUAUUAGGAAGAACACCAGUGGCGAAGGCGGCUUACUGGUCCGGAACUGACGCUGAGGUGCGAAAGCGUGGGGAGCAAACAGGAUUAGAUACCCCGGUAGUCC
Molecule: ribosomal RNA, 425 nt
Filed under: uncultured bacterium
Lineage: Bacteria
Description: partial 16S ribosomal RNA
Rfam family: Bacterial small subunit ribosomal RNA
Source: RNAcentral